Molecule: ribosomal RNA, 418 nt
Filed under: uncultured soil bacterium
Lineage: Bacteria
Description: bacterial SSU rRNA
Rfam family: Bacterial small subunit ribosomal RNA
Source: RNAcentral
AGAUUGAACGCUGGCGGCAUGCCUUACACAUGCAAGUCGAACGGCAGCACGGGAGCAAUCCUGGUGGCGAGUGGCGAACGGGUGAGUAAUACAUCGGAACGUGCCCAGUAGUGGGGGAUAACCCGGCGAAAGCCGGACUAAUACCGCAUACGACCUACGGGUGAAAGCAGGGGAUCGCAAGACCUUGCGCUAUCGGAGCGGCCGAUGUCAGAUUAGCUUGUGGACGGGGUAAAAGCCCACCAAGGCGACGAUCUGUAGCUGGUCUGAGAGGACGACCAGCCACACUGGGACUGAGACACGGCCCAGACUCCGUACGGGAGGCAGCAGGUGGGAAUUUUGGACAAGUGGCGCAAGCCUAGACUCCAGCCAUCGCCGCGGUGGACGGGGAAGAACGGGCCUUCGGGUUAGUAAACCGGUC